Molecule: ribosomal RNA, 467 nt
Filed under: uncultured bacterium
Lineage: Bacteria
Description: partial 16S ribosomal RNA
Rfam family: Bacterial small subunit ribosomal RNA
Source: RNAcentral
UACGAACGCUGGCGGCGUGCUUAACACAUGCAAGUCGAACGAUGACGACCGAGCUUGCUCGGUCUGAUUAGUGGCGAACGGGUGAGUAACACGUGAGCAACCUGCCCUUCACUCUGGGAUAACCUCGGGAAAUCGGGGCUAAUACCGGAUAUGAGCUCCUGUCGCAUGGCGGGUGUUGGAAAGUUUUUCGGUGAAGGAUGGGCUCGCGGCCUAUCAGUUUAUUGGUGAGGUAGUGGCUCACCAAGGCGAUGACGGGUAGCCGGCCUGAGAGGGCGACCGGCCACACUGGGACUGAGACACGGCCCAGACUCCUACGGGAGGCAGCAGUGGGGAAUAUUGCACAAUGGGCGAAAGCCUGAUGCAGCGACGCCGCGUGAGGGAUGACGGCCUUCGGGUUGUAAACCUCUUUCAGCAGGGAAGAAGCGAAAGUGACGGUACCUGCAGAAGAAGCGCCGGCUAACUACGUG